This 497-nucleotide ribosomal RNA is filed under the name uncultured bacterium. RNAcentral's name for it is "partial 16S ribosomal RNA". It matches the Rfam family "Bacterial small subunit ribosomal RNA", at positions 28 to 507 of the family's 1533-position model. The record is from RNAcentral.
GAUGAACGCUGGCGGCGUGCCUAAUACAUGCAAGUCGAGCGAACAGACGAGGAGCUUGCUCCUCUGACGUUAGCGGCGGACGGGUGAGUAACACGUGGAUAACCUACCUAUAAGAAUGGGAUAACUUCGGGAAACCGGAGCUAAUACCGGAUAAUAUAUUGAACCGCAUGGUUCAAUAGUGAAAGACGGUUUUGCUGUCACUUAUAGAUGGAUCCGCGCCGCAUUAGCUAGUUGGUAAGGUAACGGCUUACCAAGGCAACGAUGCGUAGCCGACCUGAGAGGGUGAUCGGCCACACUGGAACUGAGACACGGUCCAGACUCCUACGGGAGGCAGCAGUAGGGAAUCUUCCGCAAUGGGCGAAAGCCUGACGGAGCAACGCCGCGUGAGUGAUGAAGGUCUUCGGAUCGUAAAACUCUGUUAUUAGGGAAGAACAAAUGUGUAAGUAACUAUGCACGUCUUGACGGUACCUAAUCAGAAAGCCACGGCUAACUACGUG